This 72-nucleotide transfer RNA is filed under the name Pygmaeocidaris prionigera. RNAcentral describes it as "tRNA-Tyr". It matches the Rfam family "tRNA". From Rfam's summary of the family: Transfer RNA (tRNA) molecules are approximately 80 nucleotides in length. Their secondary structure includes four short double-helical elements and three loops (D, anti-codon, and T loops). Lineage: Eukaryota; Metazoa; Echinodermata; Echinoidea; Arbacioida; Arbaciidae. The record is from RNAcentral.
AACAGGGUGACUGAGAUAUAAUAGUGGUGGAUUGUAAAUCCAUAAAUAGAGGUGAAACUCCCCUCCCUGUUA